This 452-nucleotide long non-coding RNA is filed under the name Mytilus galloprovincialis (Mediterranean mussel). Lineage: Eukaryota; Metazoa; Mollusca; Bivalvia; Mytilida; Mytilidae. The record is from RNAcentral.
CAGGCAAAUUGUGUAAAUAUGAAAUACAUGAAAUAGAUGAUAAAAAUAUAUUGUAAAGCUACACAAAAGGGUUAAGUAAAAUAAAUUAAAGAUUAUUCUUUAAAAAUGUAGCCAUAAUUGUCAACCAUUUUCCAAAGUGUACAAAACAUACACUUUGUCCGACCCCCCACCCUUCCUAAAAAAGUGUACAUCAACCAUUUUCAGAUUUCAAGACAAGAAUCAAUCAUUCCUAAUAAAAAGAAGAUCAUGUCUAUUAUUGUUCAGAUUCAUAUCAAAAUUUGCAUUGAAAAUAGAUUGAAAAAUAUCUGGCUGUUUUAUUUUUAUUUUUUUUUAAAAGGCGUACGGUAAAAUUUUGAUUGUUUAACCCCCUACGUUUUGUACACUUUGGAAAAUGGUUGACAAUUAUGUAUGACCCCUAACCUUAUGGCUGUUGUGACUGGAAAGGAAGAGCA